CAAAACACGGUCUCAGUUCAGAUUGCAGGCUGCAACUCGCCUGCAUGAAGUUGGAAUUGCUAGUAAUCGCGAAUCAGAAUGUCGCGGUGAAUACGUUCCCGGGCCUUGUACACACCGCCCGUCACACCAUGAGAGUCGAUAACACCCGAAGCCUGUGAGCUAACCUUUUAGGAGGCAGCAGUCGAAGGUGGGGUUGAUGAUUGGGGUGAAGUCGUAACAAGGUAUC
This 226-nucleotide ribosomal RNA is filed under the name uncultured bacterium. RNAcentral describes it as "partial 16S ribosomal RNA". It matches the Rfam family "Bacterial small subunit ribosomal RNA", at positions 1276 to 1500 of the family's 1533-position model. The record is from RNAcentral.